UAAUACCCCCAUAUACCCUAAACCCUUCACCCAUAUUGAAUGAUCCCAUAUAAGUAUGGGAGCCACUAUGCUAAAACUAGUAACAAGAAAUUCAAUUUCUCCAAAAUGCAAGCAUAAACCAACACGGACUUACCAUUGGUAAUUAACAUAAAUGAACUUACUAUAAUAACACACCUAGAAAACUUUAUAAUUUCUCAUGUUAACCUAACACAAGAGCAUUAAUGGAAAGAUUAAAAGAAAGAGAAGGAACUCGGCAAACCUUAACCCCGCCUGUUUACCAAAAACAUCGCCUCUUGACAAACUAUAAGAGGUCCAGCCUGCCCAGUGACACAGUUUAACGGCCGCGGUAUCCUGACCGUGCGAAGGUAGCAUAAUCACUUGUUCUUUAAAUAGGGACUAGUAUCAACGGCAUCACGAGGGUUAUACUGUCUCCUCUCUCCAAUCAGUGAAACUGAUCUCCCCGUGAAGAAGCGGGGAUAAAUAUAUAAGACGAGAAGACCCCAUGGAGCUUUAAACCCAACAGCAAUUUUCCCCACAAAAUUCUGCAUAGCACGAAAAUUCUGCCUGUUGGUUUUGGGUUGGGGUGACCGCGGAGAAAAACUAAACCUCCACGAUGAACGGAAUUAACUCCUAAUUCAAGAGCCACUGCUCUAACAAUCAAUAAAUUGACAUAAACUGAUCCGAUAAUCGAUCAACGGACCAAGUUACCCUGGGGAUAACAGCGCAAUCUACUUCAAGAGCUCCUAUCGACAAGUGGGUUUACGACCUCGAUGUUGGAUCAGGGUAUCCCAGUGGUGCAGCCGC
This is a ribosomal RNA of 804 nucleotides. It matches the Rfam family "Bacterial large subunit ribosomal RNA", at positions 1431 to 2562 of the family's 2925-position model.